GACGAACGCUGGCGGCGUGCUUAACACAUGCAAGUCGAACGGUAAGGCCCUUCGGGGUACACGAGUGGCGAACGGGUGAGUAACACGUGGGUAAUCUGCCCUGCACAUCGGGAUAAGCCUGGGAAACUGGGUCUAAUACCGAAUAGGACCACAGGACACAUGUCCUGUGGUGGAAAGCUUUUGCGGUGUGGGAUGGGCCCGCGGCCUAUCAGCUUGUUGGUGGGGUGGUGGCCUACCAAGGCGACGACGGGUAGCCGGCCUGGGAGGGUGUCCGGCCACACUAGGACUGAGAUACGGCCCAGACUACGACGGGAGGCAGCAGUGGGGAAUAUUGCACAAUGGGCGAAAGCCUGAUGCAGCGACGCCGCGUGGGGGAUGACGGCCUUCGGGUUGUAAACCUCUUUCACCAUCGACGAAGGUCCGGGUUUUCUCGGGCUGACGGUAGGUGGAGAAGAAGCACCGGCCAACUACGUG
RNAcentral lists this ribosomal RNA (474 nucleotides) under uncultured bacterium. RNAcentral describes it as "partial 16S ribosomal RNA". It matches the Rfam family "Bacterial small subunit ribosomal RNA", at positions 28 to 507 of the family's 1533-position model. The record is from RNAcentral.